AAACAAGGUAUUUUGGGUUUAGUUGUUACUAAGUUAACUUAAAACAGCGUAAAGAAGACGUAAUUUGUGAUAGUGAGGAUUUAAUUCAAGAUGUCUGAAGUUUCCACUAAAACUCCAUCUACAAAGAAGCGAUUCACUGCACCGAUUCUAAAGGGUGCAGACGCUGCCUGUGGCAAGCCAAAUGAAAAAGAUGUCAGUUCUGAAAAAAGCAAAGGUUCACAAGAAAGAG
This is a long non-coding RNA of Homalodisca vitripennis (glassy-winged sharpshooter), 229 nucleotides long. RefSeq lists it as uncharacterized. NCBI's taxonomy places the organism in Eukaryota, Metazoa, Arthropoda, Insecta, Hemiptera, Cicadellidae. The record is from RefSeq and is a predicted model, not a curated record. The transcript has 3 exons.